This 231-nucleotide unclassified non-coding RNA is filed under the name Mortierella sp. RNAcentral's name for it is "partial internal transcribed spacer region". The stretch from base 1 to 48 matches the Rfam family "Eukaryotic small subunit ribosomal RNA", at positions 1784 to 1831 of the family's 1831-position model. The record is from RNAcentral. Lineage: Eukaryota; Fungi; Mortierellomycota; Mortierellomycetes; Mortierellales; Mortierellaceae.
AAAAGUCGUAACAAGGUUUCCGUAGGUGAACCUGCGGAAGGAUCAUUCACAAUAAGUGUUUAUGGCACUUUCAAAUCCAUACCCACCUUGUGUGCAAUGUAUAAGAGUCCCCUUUCUAAUUCGGAAAUUGGACUUGAUUUUUCUCUUACACGUUUUCAAUUGCAAGUCUAAGCUUUCAGAGUAAUAAAAAAAACUCGAAUACAACUUUCAACAACGGAUCUCUUGGCUCUC